This 2560-nucleotide ribosomal RNA is filed under the name Escherichia coli. Its description in RNAcentral is "partial 23S ribosomal RNA". It matches the Rfam family "Bacterial large subunit ribosomal RNA", at positions 397 to 2925 of the family's 2925-position model. Lineage: Bacteria; Pseudomonadati; Pseudomonadota; Gammaproteobacteria; Enterobacterales; Enterobacteriaceae. The record is from RNAcentral.
CUGUGAGCUCGAUGAGUAGGGCGGGACACGUGGUAUCCUGUCUGAAUAUGGGGGGACCAUCCUCCAAGGCUAAAUACUCCUGACUGACCGAUAGUGAACCAGUACCGUGAGGGAAAGGCGAAAAGAACCCCGGCGAGGGGAGUGAAAAAGAACCUGAAACCGUGUACGUACAAGCAGUGGGAGCCUCUUAAUGGGGUGACUGCGUACCUUUUGUAUAAUGGGUCAGCGACUUAUAUUCUGUAGCAAGGUUAACCGAAUAGGGGAGCCGAAGGGAAACCGAGUCUUAACUGGGCGUUAAGUUGCAGGGUAUAGACCCGAAACCCGGUGAUCUAGCCAUGGGCAGGUUGAAGGUUGGGUAACACUAACUGGAGGACCGAACCGACUAAUGUUGAAAAAUUAGCGGAUGACUUGUGGCUGGGGGUGAAAGGCCAAUCAAACCGGGAGAUAGCUGGUUCUCCCCGAAAGCUAUUUAGGUAGCGCCUCGUGAAUUCAUCUCCGGGGGUAGAGCACUGUUUCGGCAAGGGGGUCAUCCCGACUUACCAACCCGAUGCAAACUGCGAAUACCGGAGAAUGUUAUCACGGGAGACACACGGCGGGUGCUAACGUCCGUCGUGAAGAGGGAAACAACCCAGACCGCCAGCUAAGGUCCCAAAGUCAUGGUUAAGUGGGAAACGAUGUGGGAAGGCCCAGACAGCCAGGAUGUUGGCUUAGAAGCAGCCAUCAUUUAAAGAAAGCGUAAUAGCUCACUGGUCGAGUCGGCCUGCGCGGAAGAUGUAACGGGGCUAAACCAUGCACCGAAGCUGCGGCAGCGACACUAAGUGUUGUUGGGUAGGGGAGCGUUCUGUAAGCCUGUGAAGGUGUACUGUGAGGUAUGCUGGAGGUAUCAGAAGUGCGAAUGCUGACAUAAGUAACGAUAAAGCGGGUGAAAAGCCCGCUCGCCGGAAGACCAAGGGUUCCUGUCCAACGUUAAUCGGGGCAGGGUGAGUCGACCCCUAAGGCGAGGCCGAAAGGCGUAGUCGAUGGGAAACAGGUUAAUAUUCCUGUACUUGGUGUUACUGCGAAGGGGGGACGGAGAAGGCUAUGUUGGCCGGGCGACGGUUGUCCCGGUUUAAGCGUGUAGGCUGGUUUUCCAGGCAAAUCCGGAAAAUCAAGGCUGAGGCGUGAUGACGAGGCACUACGGUGCUGAAGCAACAAAUGCCCUGCUUCCAGGAAAAGCCUCUAAGCAUCAGGUAACAUCAAAUCGUACCCCAAACCGACACAGGUGGUCAGGUAGAGAAUACCAAGGCGCUUGAGAGAACUCGGGUGAAGGAACUAGGCAAAAUGGUGCCGUAACUUCGGGAGAAGGCACGCUGAUAUGUAGGUGAAGUCCCUCGCGGAUGGAGCUGAAAUCAGUCGAAGAUACCAGCUGGCUGCAACUGUUUAUUAAAAACACAGCACUGUGCAAACACGAAAGUGGACGUAUACGGUGUGACGCCUGCCCGGUGCCGGAAGGUUAAUUGAUGGGGUUAGCGGUAACGCGAAGCUCUUGAUCGAAGCCCCGGUAAACGGCGGCCGUAACUAUAACGGUCCUAAGGUAGCGAAAUUCCUUGUCGGGUAAGUUCCGACCUGCACGAAUGGCGUAAUGAUGGCCAGGCUGUCUCCACCCGAGACUCAGUGAAAUUGAACUCGCUGUGAAGAUGCAGUGUACCCGCGGCAAGACGGAAAGACCCCGUGAACCUUUACUAUAGCUUGACACUGAACAUUGAGCCUUGAUGUGUAGGAUAGGUGGGAGGCUUUGAAGUGUGGACGCCAGUCUGCAUGGAGCCGGCCUUGAAAUACCACCCUUUAAUGUUUGAUGUUCUAACGUUGGCCCCUGAUCGGGGUUGCGGACAGUGUCUGGUGGGUAGUUUGACUGGGGCGGUCUCCUCCUAAAGAGUAACGGAGGAGCACGAAGGUUGGCUAAUCCUGGUCGGACAUCAGGAGGUUAGUGCAAUGGCAUAAGCCAGCUUGACUGCGAGCGUGACGGCGCGAGCAGGUGCGAAAGCAGGUCAUAGUGAUCCGGUGGUUCUGAAUGGAAGGGCCAUCGCUCAACGGAUAAAAGGUACUCCGGGGAUAACAGGCUGAUACCGCCCAAGAGUUCAUAUCGACGGCGGUGUUUGGCACCUCGAUGUCGGCUCAUCACAUCCUGGGGCUGAAGUAGGUCCCAAGGGUAUGGCUGUUCGCCAUUUAAAGUGGUACGCGAGCUGGGUUUAGAACGUCGUGAGACAGUUCGGUCCCUAUCUGCCGUGGGCGCUGGAGAACUGAGGGGGGCUGCUCCUAGUACGAGAGGACCGGAGUGGACGCAUCACUGGUGUUCGGGUUGUCAUGCCAAUGGCACUGCCCGGUAGCUAAAUGCGGAAGAGAUAAGUGCUGAAAGCAUCUAAGCACGAAACUUGCCCCGAGAUGAGUUCUCCCUGACUCCUUGAGAGUCCUGAAGGAACGUUGAAGACGACGACGUUGAUAGGCCGGGUGUGUAAGCGCAGCGAUGCGUUGAGCUAACCGGUACUAAUGAACCGUGAGGCUUAACCUUACAACGCCGAAG